Molecule: transfer RNA, 65 nt
Filed under: Longimicrobiales bacterium
Lineage: Bacteria; Pseudomonadati; Gemmatimonadota; Longimicrobiia; Longimicrobiales
Description: tRNA-Val
Source: RNAcentral
GGGCGGGGAGUGCCCGUCUGUGCCUUACAAGCAGGGGGUCGGCGGUUCGAGUCCGUCAGUGCCCA